AGGUGCGAUCAUACCACCACUUAUGCAUCAGAUCUCAUCAGAACUCUGUAGUUAAGCGUGCUUGGGAGAGAGUAGUACUAGGAUGGGUGACCUUUUGGUGCACCUCUUUUUUUCUCCAG
This 119-nucleotide ribosomal RNA is filed under the name Lupinus angustifolius (narrow-leaved blue lupine). The record is from RNAcentral. Lineage: Eukaryota; Viridiplantae; Streptophyta; Magnoliopsida; Fabales; Fabaceae.